Molecule: ribosomal RNA, 572 nt
Filed under: Papiliotrema flavescens
Lineage: Eukaryota; Fungi; Basidiomycota; Tremellomycetes; Tremellales; Rhynchogastremaceae
Description: partial 26S ribosomal RNA
Rfam family: Eukaryotic large subunit ribosomal RNA
Source: RNAcentral
GGCGAGUGAACCGGGAAGAGCUCAAAUUUGAAAUCUGGCGUGCUCAGUGCGUCCGAGUUGUAAUCUAUAGAGUCGUUUUCCGUGCCGGACUGUGUCCAAGUCCCUUGGAACAGGGUAUCAAAGAGGGUGAUAAUCCCGUACUUGACACAAUGACCGGUGCUCUGUGAUACGUCUUCUACGAGUCGAGUUGUUUGGGAAUGCAGCUCAAAAUGGGUGGUGAGUUCCAUCUAAAGCUAAAUAUUGGCGAGAGACCGAUAGCGAACAAGUACCGUGAGGGAAAGAUGAAAAGCACUUUGGAAAGAGAGUUAAACAGUACGUGAAAUUGUUAAAAGGGAAACGAUUGAAGUCAGUCGUGACUGAGAGGCUCAGCCGGUUCUGCCGGUGUAUUCCCCUCAGUCGGGUCAACAUCAGUUUUGUUCGGUGGAUAAGGGCAGUUGGAAGGUGGCACCCUCGGGUGUGUUAUAGCCAGCUGUCGCAUACAUCGGAUGAGACUGAGGAAUGCAGCUCGCCUUUAUGGCCGGGGUUCGCCCACGUUCGAGCUUAGGAUGUUGACAUAAUGGCUUUAAACGACC